GAUGAACGCUGGCGGCGUGCUUAACACAUGCGAGUCGAACGGGAAUUCUUUUAUUGAAACUUCGGUCGAUUUAAUUUAAUUCUAGUGGCGGACGGGUGAGUAACGCGUGGGUAACCUGCCUUAUACAGGGGGAUAACAGUCAGAAAUGGCUGCUAAUACCGCAUAAGCGCACAGAGCUGCAUGGCUCAGUGUGAAAAACUCCGGUGGUAUAAGAUGGACCCGCGUUGGAUUAGCUGGUUGGUGGGGUAACGGCCCACCAAGGCGACGAUCCAUAGCCGGCCUGAGAGGGUGAACGGCCACAUUGGGACUGAGACACGGCCCAGACUCCUACGGGAGGCAGCAGUGGGGAAUAUUGCACAAUGGGGGAAACCCUGAUGCAGCGACGCCGCGUGAAGGAAGAAGUAUCUCGGUAUGUAAACUUCUAUCAGCAGGGAAGAUAGUGACGGUACCUGACUAAGAAGCCCCGGCUAACUACGUG
RNAcentral lists this ribosomal RNA (478 nucleotides) under uncultured bacterium. Its description in RNAcentral is "partial 16S ribosomal RNA". It matches the Rfam family "Bacterial small subunit ribosomal RNA", at positions 28 to 507 of the family's 1533-position model. The record is from RNAcentral.